Molecule: ribosomal RNA, 1005 nt
Filed under: Triticum aestivum (bread wheat)
Lineage: Eukaryota; Viridiplantae; Streptophyta; Magnoliopsida; Poales; Poaceae
Description: partial small subunit ribosomal RNA
Source: RNAcentral
AUGUUCGCCGAUGCGGGCUUUAGCUUCUCCGCCUACUCUUCUGUGUUGUCGGGCUACUCCUACUCCUACUCCCCUGUCUUCUCCCAUCCCCACCCAGACUACUCCUCCUUCUUCUCUCCCUCAUCCUCUGCUGCACUGGCACAACCGCCGCUGCCACCCCUGCCUCUCCUGCACCAACAACAUCAAGUCACUGUUGUUGCCGCACCCAAAGACGUCGCCGCCGCCACCAUGUACCACCACCUUGGAGACAUGGGGCAGCCAUCCCUGAUAGCAGAGUAUGACCUGGGAGCAGAAGGCGACCUGUUCAAGGCUCCGGAGCCCAUAAUCGAGGAGCCGCUGCUCACCCUCGACCCCGUCGCCGCCGCCAUCUCCAUGAUGUCCGGCAGCGACAACGCCAUGAACGACACCAUCAAGGCCUCGGACAUGAGCCUGAGCGAGGCGUUGUACAAGUGCGAGAAGGAGCUCAUGGAGGACUCGGCGAUCGAUGAGACGAUAUCCGAGCUGCUGGACGCCAAGAUCCCCAUGCUGCAGGUCGAGGACGUGCCCGGGAAGCUCAGGGCAUCGUCGUCCACAGCCGCUGCCGCCGCCGGCGAGUGCUCGCUCCAGAAGAGCGUCAGCUCCGGGUGCCUCAACUCGGCCGACUGGAUCAACGGUUCGGCGGUGCAGCCCAACUUGUUCAACUUCCAAGGGCUCGACUUCGAGGCCGCAUUCGNNNNNNNNNNNNNNNNNNNNNNNNNNNNNNNNCAGAUCCUUGGUGCCAACACCCCUCCAAUUGGGAUCGCGGCAAAUGUGUGCGCAUCUGGUGAGAGGCUUGUGACCAUCAGUGACCUGAAAAGUGAGGAAAGGAAACAAAAGCUCAACAGAUACAGGGAGAAGAAGAUCCAGAGGAACUUUGGCAGAAAGAUCAAGUAUGCUUGCAGGAAGGCUCUGGCAGACAACCAGCCGAGGGUGCGAGGGAGGUUCGUCAAGAUGGACGUCGGCGACAUGCUCAAGCCGAGGAAGUAG